This 252-nucleotide ribosomal RNA is filed under the name uncultured bacterium. RNAcentral's name for it is "partial 16S ribosomal RNA". It matches the Rfam family "Bacterial small subunit ribosomal RNA", at positions 524 to 776 of the family's 1533-position model. The record is from RNAcentral.
UACGGAGGAUGCGAGCGUUAUCCGGAUUUAUUGGGUUUAAAGGGUGCGUAGGCGGAGUGUCAAGUCAGCGGUAAAAUUUCGGGGCUCAACCCCGUCGUGCCGUUGAAACUGACGCCCUUGAGUGAGUGAGAAGUAAGCGGAAUGCGUGGUGUAGCGGUGAAAUGCAUAGAUAUCACGCAGAACGCCGAUUGCGAAGGCAGCUUACCGGCGCUCAACUGACGCUGAGGCACGAAAGUGCGGGUAUCGAACAGG